Etheostoma spectabile (orangethroat darter) is the source of this 278-nucleotide long non-coding RNA. RefSeq lists it as uncharacterized. Lineage: Eukaryota; Metazoa; Chordata; Actinopteri; Perciformes; Percidae. The transcript has 2 exons. The record is from RefSeq and is a predicted model, not a curated record.
GAAUGCAGAUUUCGGUGCCACCCAAAUGUCUGCGCUGCUCUCUGAUGCUCCGAAAAGAAUGACAGGAGCAACAGAAACAUCGCUGCAUGUCACGCUAAAGGUAACUUUAGCCUACAGUUAGCUACAGUAGUAACUGGAUUCAACACGGUUAAAAUGCUGACGGCUAAACUGUGUAAAAGUGUGACUGUAUUUCACUGGAGAGGAUUCCAACACCAGAACGCUGCUAAAGCUAUGAGCUAAGAGACACAAACUAGCACGUGGUCACAGCGGUUGUCAGA